This 382-nucleotide unclassified non-coding RNA is filed under the name uncultured bacterium. Its description in RNAcentral is "contains 16S-23S intergenic spacer region". The record is from RNAcentral.
UCCUGGUUUCCCAGGCAGUCCCAUCAGAGUGCCUCCGAAGAGUAGCAACUGAUAGCAAGGGUUGCGCUCGUUAUAGGACUUAACCCAACAUCUCACGACACGAGCUGACGACAGCCAUGCAGCACCUGUGUAUAUGUCCAAGGCGAACCCUGGAAAAUCGCGUUUCUGCGACGGUCAUAUACAUGUCAAACCUAGGUAAGGUUCCUCGCGUAGUGUCGAAUUAAACCACAUGUUCCACCGCUUGUGCGGACCCCCGUCAAUUCCUUUGAGUUUUAAUCUUGCGACCGUAAUCCCCAGGCGGAUCACUUAUCGCGUUAGCUACGACACCAAUCUCGCAAAGCGAGACUGACGUCUAGUGAUCAUCGUUUACGGCGUGGACUAC